AUCCCAUGUUGAGGGAACUUCCUCAACAAUUCCUUUUACCGCUCCCAUGCUUUGUACAAGCUUUGGGACCAUAUCUAUCUGAAAGAUGAUAUGUCAUUUUUUAGCUU
Small nucleolar RNA from Dioscorea cayenensis subsp. rotundata (Guinea yam), 107 nucleotides. The record is from RefSeq and is a predicted model, not a curated record. NCBI's taxonomy places the organism in Eukaryota, Viridiplantae, Streptophyta, Magnoliopsida, Dioscoreales, Dioscoreaceae.